RNAcentral lists this ribosomal RNA (718 nucleotides) under uncultured beta proteobacterium. RNAcentral describes it as "bacterial SSU rRNA". It matches the Rfam family "Bacterial small subunit ribosomal RNA", at positions 60 to 795 of the family's 1533-position model. Lineage: Bacteria; Pseudomonadati; Pseudomonadota; Betaproteobacteria. The record is from RNAcentral.
AGUCGAGCGCUCUCUUCGGAGGGAGCGGCGGACGGGUGAGUAACGCGUGGGAACGUGCCCUUCUCUAUGGAAUAGCCACUGAAAACGGUGAGUAAUACCAUAUACGCCCUUCGGGGGAAAGAUUUAUCGGAGAAGGAUCGGCCCGCGUUAGAUUAGGUAGUUGGUGGGGUAAAGGCUCACCAAGCCAACGAUCUAUAGCUGGUCUGAGAGGACGACCAGCCACACUGGAACUGAGACACGGUCCAGACUCCUACGGGAGGCAGCAGUGGGGAAUUUUGGACAAUGGGCGAAAGCCUGAUCCAGCAAUACCGCGUGCAGGAAGAAGGCCCUCGGGUUGUAAACUGCUUUUGUACGGAACGAAACGGCGCGCUCUAAUAAAGUGCGCUAAUGACGGUACCGUAAGAAUAAGCACCGGCUAACUACGUGCCAGCAGCCGCGGUAAUACGUAGGGUGCGAGCGUUAAUCGGAAUUACUGGGCGUAAAGCGUGCGCAGGCGGUUUUGUAAGACAGGCGUGAAAUCCCCGGGCUCAACCUGGGAAUUGCGCUUGUGACUGCAAGGCUAGAGUACGGUAGAGGGGGGUAGAAUUCCGCGUGUAGCAGUGAAAUGCGUAGAUAUGCGGAGGAACACCGAUGGCGAAGGCAGCCCCCUGGACCUGUACUGACGCUCAUGCACGAAAGCGUGGGGAGCAAACAGGAUUAGAUACCCUGGUAGAAGGGC